GUGAGGAAUUUUCCGCAAUGGGCGAAAGCCUGACGGAGCAAUGCCGCGUGAAGGAUGAAGGCCUAUGGGUUGUAAACUUCUUUUCUCAGAAAAGAAUUAUGACGGUAUCUGAGGAAUAAGCAUCGGCUAACUCUGUGCCAGCAGCCGCGGUAAGACAGAGGAUGCAAGCGUUAUCCGGAAUGAUUGGGCGUAAAGCGUCUGUAGGUUGUUUAAAAAGUAUUCUGUCAAAGAUUAGGGCUUAACCCUAGAUAGGCAGAAUAAACUUUUAAGCUAGAGUUUGGUAGAGGCAGAGGGAAUUCCUGGUGGAGCGGUGAAAUGCGUAGAUAUCGGGAGGAACACCAAAGGCGAAGGCACUCUGCUGGGCCAAUACUAACACUGAGAGACGAAAGCGAGGGGAGCAAAUGGGAUUAGAAACCCCUGUAGUCC
RNAcentral lists this ribosomal RNA (426 nucleotides) under uncultured bacterium. RNAcentral describes it as "partial 16S ribosomal RNA". It matches the Rfam family "Bacterial small subunit ribosomal RNA", at positions 354 to 796 of the family's 1533-position model. The record is from RNAcentral.